Molecule: ribosomal RNA, 497 nt
Filed under: uncultured bacterium
Lineage: Bacteria
Description: partial 16S ribosomal RNA
Rfam family: Bacterial small subunit ribosomal RNA
Source: RNAcentral
GAUGAACGCUGGCGGCGUGCCUAAUACAUGCGAGUCGAGCGAACGGACGAGAAGCUUGCUUUUCUGAUGUUAGCGGCGGACGGGUGAGUAACACGUGGAUAACCUACCUAUAAGACUGGGAUAACUUCGGGAAACCGGAGCUAAUACCGGAUAAUAUUUUGAACCGCAUGGUUCAAAAGUGAAAGACGGUCUUGCUGUCACUUAUAGAUGGAUCCGCGCUGCAUUAGCUAGUUGGUAAGGUAACGGCUUACCAAGGCAACGAUGCAUAGCCGACCUGAGAGGGUGAUCGGCCACACUGGAACUGAGACACGGUCCAGACUCCUACGGGAGGCAGCAGUAGGGAAUCUUCCGCAAUGGGCGAAAGCCUGGCGGAGCAACGCCGCGUGAGUGAUGAAGGUCUUCGGAUCGUAAAACUCUGUUAUUAGGGAAGAACAUAUGUGUAAGUAACUGUGCACAUCUUGACGGUACCUAAUCAGAAAGCCACGGCUAACUACGUG